Molecule: ribosomal RNA, 468 nt
Filed under: uncultured bacterium
Lineage: Bacteria
Description: partial 16S ribosomal RNA
Rfam family: Bacterial small subunit ribosomal RNA
Source: RNAcentral
GACGAACGCUGGCGGCGUGCUUAACACAUGCAAGUCGAACGGAAAGGCCCUGCUUUUGUGGGGUGCUCGAGUGGCGAACGGGUGAGUAACACGUGAGUAACCUGCCCUUGACUUUGGGAUAACUUCAGGAAACUGGGGCUAAUACCGGAUAGGAGCUCCUGUUGCAUGGUGGGGGUUGGAAAGUUUCGGCGGUUGGGGAUGGACUCGCGGCUUAUCAGCUUGUUGGUGGGGUAGUGGCUUACCAAGGCUUUGACGGGUAGCCGGCCUGAGAGGGUGACCGGCCACAUGGGGACUGAGAUACGGACCAGACGCCUACGGGAGGCAGCAGUGGGGAAUAUUGCACAAUGGGCGGAAGCCUGAGGCAGCAACGCCGCGUGCGGGAUGACGGCCUUCGGGUUGUAAACCGCUUUCGCCUGUGACGAAGCGUGAGUGACGGUAAUGGGUAAAGAAGCACCGGCUAACUACGUG